CAGCACCUCAAGUGGUCAGGACGAUUAUUGGGCCUAAAGCAUCCGUAGCCGGCGCUGUAAGUUUUCGGUUAAAUCUGUACGCUCAACGUACAGGCUGCCGGGAAUACUGCAGCGCUAGGGAGUGGGAGAGGUAGACGGUACUCGGUAGGAAGGGGUAAAAUCCUUUGAUCUAUUGAUGACCACCUGUGGCGAAGGCGGUCUACCAGAACACGUCCGACGGUGAGGGAUGAAAGCUGGGGGAGAAGACCGGGUGAGAUACCCGAGUAGUCC
RNAcentral lists this ribosomal RNA (270 nucleotides) under uncultured archaeon. RNAcentral describes it as "partial 16S ribosomal RNA". It matches the Rfam family "Archaeal small subunit ribosomal RNA", at positions 477 to 747 of the family's 1478-position model. The record is from RNAcentral.